Molecule: small RNA, 28 nt
Filed under: Bombyx mori (domestic silkworm)
Lineage: Eukaryota; Metazoa; Arthropoda; Insecta; Lepidoptera; Bombycidae
Description: ovarian small RNA-23187
Source: RNAcentral
UAGUUGGUUCCAAUGUGGUAGGUUCUAC